RNAcentral lists this ribosomal RNA (460 nucleotides) under uncultured bacterium. Its description in RNAcentral is "partial 16S ribosomal RNA". It matches the Rfam family "Bacterial small subunit ribosomal RNA", at positions 338 to 795 of the family's 1533-position model. The record is from RNAcentral.
CCUACGGGUGGCAGCAGUGAGGAAUAUUGGUCAAUGGACGAGAGUCUGAACCAGCCAUGUCGCGUGAAGGAUGACUGCCCUAUGGGUUGUAAACUUCUUUUAUAUGGGAAUAAAAUGUUCCACGUGUGGGAUUUUGUAUGUACCAUAUGAAUAAGGAUCGGCUAACUCCGUGCCAGCAGCCGCGGUAAUACGGAGGAUCCGAGCGUUAUCCGGAUUUAUUGGGUUUAAAGGGAGCGUAGGUGGUUGGUUAAGUCAGUUGUGAAAGUUUGCGGCUCAACCGUAAAAUUGCCGUCGAUACUGGCAGGCUUGAGUACAGUAGAGGUAGGCGGAAUGCGUGGUGUAGCGGUGAAAUGCUUAGAGAUCACGAAGAACUCCGAUUGCGAAGGCAGUUCACUGGACUGCAACUGACACUGAGGCUCGAAAGUGUGGGUAUCAAACAGGAUUAGAUACCCUAGUAGUC